Non-coding RNA from Nicotiana tabacum (common tobacco), 2158 nucleotides. Lineage: Eukaryota; Viridiplantae; Streptophyta; Magnoliopsida; Solanales; Solanaceae. The record is from RefSeq and is a predicted model, not a curated record.
GUGAGAGCCGACAGAACAGAAGUGCUUGAGCUUAAUCUUCCAGAAAGUAGAAACAAGCCGAAACCUAGCAGAACAGAAAAGCAAGCCGAAACCUAGCAAACUUUGGAUUACUGUAUUUAAAAGCAAACCAGUAGACCUUAGAUUCUUGAUCUAUAAAUACGUUUGGGAGGUUCUUGUGUCUUGCUCAAAGAAUUCAAUCAUGGCUAGCUCUUCCUUGGUGGUCAGAACUUCUGUUCCAAAGGAAAUAAUGAGAGGGCAAAUUAGUGAACUGAUUGAUGCCGACCAUAAUAGUUGUAGUGGUCCUGUGGUGAGCAGAUGUGUGGCUCCUUGGUUGAUGCUACUGCCGGAGUUUAAAGAGGACAGCACCGUCUUCAAAUUCUACAGACCGGCAGAAGGGGAUGUCAUACAAGUACAACAUGAGCAGCAAGUGAUGAUGCCUGAUAUUGAUUCCGUUUGCUUGGGUUCAUUAUCCAAGGGAUGGCUUGUUUGUAUACAGCCUAAAGAUUGUCUUCUCUUCAUGUUUAACCCACUUUCUGGUAAGACUAUCCAGCUUCCAUCCAUUGAAAGUUUCCCCUGUGUUAACGGCGUUAUUCGGAACAGUGUCAGAGUCGAAUGCUUUCUUAACCACCAAUCUAUUCCCUUAACCCCGCAACGUAUGUCUUCAUACAUUGUCGAAAAGAUGAUCCUUUCAUCCCCUGAUCCUAUGGAUGAGGACUGCAUAGCGUUGGUCAUUUACGGGCCCCACCAGCGACUCGCAUUUUGCAGGAGGCCUGGCAUAGCUGAAGCCAAUUCGUGGACUGCACUCGACGGUCCCUUACAUGAGUACACUCAAAUUGUGUUCCACAGUGGAAAGAAACUAUUUUUUGCUCUCACCCAAGAUAAGGAGCUUGAAGCUUGGGAUCUCCACAAUGAUCCAACUAAGAGGUUUCUCAUUCAGAUUGAAGAUAUAGGCUGCAGUGAUGAUUGGCCCUGUUCUGCUGCGGAUGAUACUGAGCUAGAGUGCAAGUCAUGCUACUGUUGGGACACUGAUUACUUGGUAUAUGACCACCAAACCCAGGAGCUUUUUAUUGUUACACGCUACAUAGCACAUGGCAUUGCCCAAGAUGGGACUCUGAUAUUGCCUGUGGACAACGCUGAGCGCGAAUAUCCCUACAAGACUCAAACUUUUGAUGUUUUCAAGCUUGAUUUUAUAGACCAUGAUCAUGUGGAGCUUCAAUACUUGCCAAGCAGCCUUGGCAAUCGUGCAUUCUUCAUUGGUUCCAAUCCCGGCUUUGCUCUCUCGACCACCAUGUUCCCGGAAUUGAGGCCCAAUUCUAUUUACUUUACAGAUGAUCUAACCUAUGCUUACAUAUUUAGGGAGGAGCCUAAUUGUGGAGGUCAUGAUUUGGGGAUUUAUGACUGUAAAGAAGGAAGCUUUUUAUCCUGUUACUACCCUGUCGAUGUAGACAAGAUACAGAGGAUUCUACCAGCUCCUAUUUGGUUCACCCCUGAUGUUGAUGCAACAUGCUUGGCCUCCACUUUAGGUCUCUAAACUUAUUGUGGAUCAUGUAGCAUAGUAAAAUGCAUUGUUCGGAAGGAUAAAAUGGAAAGGAGAUGAAUGUCAUCAAGGUCAAAACAACUUGUUUAGUUGUCUGACAAUUUCCAAUGCAGCAAGUAAUUAAGGAAUGUGGAUUUCCUAGGCAAUACCACUCUGCACAUUUUCAAGUUAGGUGACCUUUACUCUAGAAGCUGAAGGAUUCCUAGUGGCAGGAUGGAUAACAAUCGAAGCUGGUUGAAGUGUGAAGAGAUCUCUCCAACCAAAUUUCACUUAUAGAUGAACUGUAGUGUUGUGGUUUUCAGGUCCUAAAGGUGAUGCAGCAAAGCUUCAUAGAUGUACUUAUUUGUUGGCGAGGACAAAGUAUGAAGAGCAGACUGAAGAAGAUAUGGAAAUUAAUACCAUUAUGCAUUAUCUGGACUGUGUGGCUCAAAAGGAACAAAAGAUGCUUUGAAGCAACAGAAGAGUUGAAUGCUUUGUUAAAGUUUAGAUGAUUUUAGAAUAUGUUUUGUCGGCUUAGAGGAUUCUGUCAUUAGCAUUUCUGGUUUCAUGGACCUGCUGGAGUCUGUAUAGCUGCUGUUUAAGUCUGGAUCCCUUGUAAACUCUUUGGUACAUUCUUGGUAC